GUGCCAGCAGCCGCGGUAAUACGUAAGAGGCAAGCGUUGUCCGGAAUCACUGGGCGUGAAGGGUGCGCAGGCGGUCUAGUAAGUCAAAAGUGAAAUCCAUCGGCUCAACCGGUGAACUGCUUUUGAGACUACUAGACUUGAGAAUAGGAGAAGAGAGUGGAAUUCCUGGUGUAGUGGUGAAAUACGUAGAUAUCAGGAAGAAUACCAAUGGCGAAAGCAGCUCUCUAGCCUAAUUCUGACGCUGAGGUACGAAAGCUAGGGUAUCAAACGGGAUUAGAAACCCCGGUAGUCC
RNAcentral lists this ribosomal RNA (292 nucleotides) under uncultured bacterium. RNAcentral's name for it is "partial 16S ribosomal RNA". It matches the Rfam family "Bacterial small subunit ribosomal RNA", at positions 505 to 796 of the family's 1533-position model. The record is from RNAcentral.